GGCUACGGCCAUGCCACCCUGAACAUGCCAGAUCUCGUCUGAUCUCGGAAGCUAAGCAGGGUCGAGCCUGGUUAGUACUUGGAUGGGAGACCACCUAGGAAUAACAGGUGUUGUAGGCU
Molecule: non-coding RNA, 119 nt
Organism: Pteropus alecto (black flying fox)
Lineage: Eukaryota; Metazoa; Chordata; Mammalia; Chiroptera; Pteropodidae
Source: Rfam